CCUUGGUUAGCUCAGUUGGUAGAGCGCUCCACUUGAAUUGGAGAGGUCACGGGUUCAAUACCCGGACCAGGCG
This 73-nucleotide transfer RNA is filed under the name Ixodes scapularis (black-legged tick). It matches the Rfam family "tRNA". From Rfam's summary of the family: Transfer RNA (tRNA) molecules are approximately 80 nucleotides in length. Their secondary structure includes four short double-helical elements and three loops (D, anti-codon, and T loops). Further hydrogen bonds mediate the characteristic L-shaped molecular structure. tRNAs have two regions of fundamental functional importance: the anti-codon, which is responsible for specific mRNA codon recognition, and the 3' end, to which the tRNAs corresponding amino acid is attached (by aminoacyl-tRNA synthetases). tRNAs cope with the degeneracy of the genetic code in two manners: having more than one tRNA (with a specific anti-codon) for a particular amino acid; and 'wobble' base-pairing, i.e. permitting non-standard base-pairing at the 3rd anti-codon position. The record is from Rfam by way of RNAcentral. Lineage: Eukaryota; Metazoa; Arthropoda; Arachnida; Ixodida; Ixodidae.